This 489-nucleotide ribosomal RNA is filed under the name uncultured Saprospiraceae bacterium. RNAcentral's name for it is "bacterial SSU rRNA". It matches the Rfam family "Bacterial small subunit ribosomal RNA", at positions 28 to 505 of the family's 1533-position model. Lineage: Bacteria; Pseudomonadati; Bacteroidota; Saprospiria; Saprospirales; Saprospiraceae. The record is from RNAcentral.
GAUGAACGCUAGCGGGAGGCUUAAUACAUGCAAGUCGAACGGUAACAGUACAGUUUUUCGGAACAGUAGCUGACGAGUGGCGCACGGGUGAGUAACGCGUACACAAUCUACCUUUUACAGGGGGAUAGCCUCGGGAAACUGAGAAUAAUACCCCAUAGUAUAUACUAAUCGCAUGAUUUGGUAUAUUAAAGCUCCGGCGGUAAGAGAUGAGUGUGCGUUAGAUUAGCUAGUUGGUAGGGUAACGGCCUACCAAGGCGACGAUCUAUAGGGGGCGUGAGAGCGUGAUCCCCCACACGGGUACUGAGACACGGACCCGACUCCUACGGGAGGCAGCAGUAAGGAAUAUUGGACAAUGGGCGAAAGCCUGAUCCAGCCAUCCCGCGUGCAGGAAGACGGCCCUCUGGGUUGUAAACUGCUUUUGUAUGGGACGAAACGCCUUCAUUUAUGAGGGUCUGACGGUACCAUAAGAAUAAGCAUCGGCUAACUCCG